This 253-nucleotide ribosomal RNA is filed under the name uncultured bacterium. RNAcentral describes it as "partial 16S ribosomal RNA". It matches the Rfam family "Bacterial small subunit ribosomal RNA", at positions 524 to 776 of the family's 1533-position model. The record is from RNAcentral.
UACGGGGGGGGCAAGCGUUGUUCGGAAUUACUGGGCGUAAAGGGCUCGUAGGCGGCCAACUAAGUCGGACGUGAAAUCCCCAGGCUCAACCUGGGAACUGCGUCCGAUACUGGAUGGCUUGAAUCCGGGAGAGGGAUGCAGAAUUCCAGGUGUAGCGGUGAAAUGCGUAGAUAUCAGGAAGAACACCCGUGGCGAAGGCGGCUCUCUGGAACGCAACUGACGCUGAGACGCGAAAGCGUGGGGAGCAAACAGG